Molecule: ribosomal RNA, 460 nt
Filed under: uncultured bacterium
Lineage: Bacteria
Description: partial 16S ribosomal RNA
Rfam family: Bacterial small subunit ribosomal RNA
Source: RNAcentral
CCUACGGGUGGCUGCAGUGAGGAAUAUUGGUCAAUGGACGAGAGUCUGAACCAGCCAAGCCGCGUGAGGGAUGAAUGCGCAGAGCGUCGCAGACCUCUUUUACCUGGGAAUAAAAUGCCGCACGCGUGCGAUCCUGUGUGUACCCGGUGAAAAAGGAUCGGCUAACUCCGUGCCAGCAGCCGCGGUAAUACGGAGGAUGCGAGCGUUAUCCGGAUUUAUUGGGUUUAAAGGGUGCGUAGGCGGAGAGUUAAGGCAGCUGUGAAAGUGUGGGGCUCAACCGUAGCAGUGCAGUUGAAACUGGCAGUCUUGAGUGUAGUGGAGGUAGGCGGAAUGCGUGGUGUAGCGGUGAAAUGCAUAGAUAUCGCGCAGAACUCCGAUUGCGAAGGCAGCGCGCUGUGCUGCAACUGACACUGAGGCACGAAAGUGUGGGUAUCGAACAGGAUUAGAUACCCUUGUAGUC